RNAcentral lists this ribosomal RNA (261 nucleotides) under uncultured archaeon. Its description in RNAcentral is "partial 16S ribosomal RNA". It matches the Rfam family "Archaeal small subunit ribosomal RNA", at positions 748 to 1009 of the family's 1478-position model. The record is from RNAcentral.
UAGCCGUAAACGAUACCCGCUAGGUGUCGGCCACGGUGCGACCGUUGUCGGUGCCGUAGGGAAGCCGUGAAGCGAGCCACCUGGGAAGUACGGCCGCAAGGCUGAAACUUAAAGGAAUUGGCGGGGGAGCACAACAACGGGUGGAGCUUGCGGUUUAAUUGGAUUCAACGCCGGAAAUCUUACCGGGACCGACAGCAACAUGAAGGCCAAGCUGAAGACUUUGCCGGAUUAGCUGAGAGGUGGUGCAUGGCGUAGUCGUGU